RNAcentral lists this ribosomal RNA (484 nucleotides) under uncultured bacterium. RNAcentral's name for it is "bacterial SSU rRNA". It matches the Rfam family "Bacterial small subunit ribosomal RNA", at positions 28 to 507 of the family's 1533-position model. The record is from RNAcentral.
GAUGAACGCUAGCGGAGGCUUAACACAUGCAAGUCAGGGGCAGCAUAAGGUAGCAAUACUUUGAUGGCGACCGGCGCACGGGUGAGUAACGCGUAUGUAACCUGUCCUUAACAGGAGGAUAACCCGGAGAAAUUCGGACUAAUACUGCAUAAAAUUAUAAAUAGGCAUCUAUUAAUAAUUAAAGCUACGGCGGUUAGGGAGGGGCAUGCGUAACAUUAGCUGGUUGGUAGGGUAACGGCCUACCAAGGCAAUGAUGUUUAGGGGACCUGAGAGGGUGACCCCCCACACUGGUACUGAGACACGGACCAGACUCCUACGGGAGGCAGCAGUGAGGAAUAUUGGUCAAUGGGCGGCAGCCUGAACCAGCCAUCCCGCGUGAAGGAAGAAUGCGCUAUGCGUUGUAAACUUCUUUUUCAGGGGGAUAAAAUUCUGUAUGUAUACAGGACUGAAGGUACCCUGAGAAUAAGCAUCGGCUAACUCCGUG